Molecule: transfer RNA, 76 nt
Filed under: Candidatus Moraniibacteriota bacterium
Lineage: Bacteria; Candidatus Moraniibacteriota
Description: tRNA-Thr
Rfam family: tRNA
About the family: Transfer RNA (tRNA) molecules are approximately 80 nucleotides in length. Their secondary structure includes four short double-helical elements and three loops (D, anti-codon, and T loops). Further hydrogen bonds mediate the characteristic L-shaped molecular structure. tRNAs have two regions of fundamental functional importance: the anti-codon, which is responsible for specific mRNA codon recognition, and the 3' end, to which the tRNAs corresponding amino acid is attached (by aminoacyl-tRNA synthetases). tRNAs cope with the degeneracy of the genetic code in two manners: having more than one tRNA (with a specific anti-codon) for a particular amino acid; and 'wobble' base-pairing, i.e. permitting non-standard base-pairing at the 3rd anti-codon position.
Source: RNAcentral
GCCGAUGUAGCUCACUUGGUAGAGCAAUACACUCGUAACGUAUAGGUAGCCGGUUCGAUUCCGGCCAUCGGCUCCG